AACGAUAUAGAAUAUAUUGUUUUACUUCAUUUUUCUAAAUAUAGAAAAAUAUAGAAAGAAACUAUUAGGGAAUCAUUGCAAUAUAUCAAAGAGAGAAAUUUUAAUUUGUAUAAACAGUAUAAAACUGGUUUAAAAACAUGAACUCUAAGAGAAAUUCAGUAAUAAACGAAGUAAAUUGAAAUAUCUUAAUAACUUUAGGAAAAGAAAUCAAAAGAGAUUCUAUGAUUAGUGAGAAUGAAAAUAGAGAAGCCUUCCAAUACAUAUGGGAGGGUUUAGGUACAAUCGGGUAAUAUAAAAACAUUAAAUAUUAUUAAAAAUUUUUAGGAAAAUUUUUAAAGUUAAUAUAUAAUAUUAAGUAAAUAAAAGUUUUAUAAAUAUAAAAACCUAUGUAAACUAAAACCAUAGUAUGGUACAAAUAAAAAUUAACAAGUAGAAUGGGUUAAGACUUGUUUGAAUAAGUAAAGGGGAACCUUCCUCUAAGGCUAAAUAUGAUAUAUUGAGCGAUAGCGUAGAGUACCGUGAGGGAAUUGAAAAAUUAGUAGUUUUAUAAGCAGCUUGAGAAGAAAAUUUAAAUAACAUUAAAAGCGUACCUUUUGCAUAAUGGGUCAGCAAGUUAAUAUUAGAUGCGAGCAAUAACUGCCUAGAUAAAUCGGUCAAUACAAUAGUGAUAAGUAUCUAAAAUUAGACCCGAAACCUAGUGAUCUUACCAUGAUCAGAGUCACAAAAGCUCGAACGGGUUAUUGUUGCAUAAAUAUCCGAUGAAUUGUGGUAAGCUUGGUGAAAGAUAAAACUGACUAGGGAUAGCUGGUUUUCCGCGAAACGUAUCUAAGUACGUAAUUUUAACUAACAUCAUGCAGGUACAGAACUUGAUCUUACAUGGCUAGUCGAGGAGAUAUUUUUCAAUUAUAUCGGGGAAUCGUGAAGAUUUUAUCGUUAAGUAAUAGGUCUCGGAAUGGCAGUGAUGAAUGUAAAAAUAACAGACAUAGUAUGCUAAGGUUGUAUGUCAAAAGGGAAACAGCCCAGAACAAGUGUAAAUAUAAGGUUCCAAAAUUAUUGUUAAGUGAAAUAAAGAGAGUUUUUAUCUUAUUCGAUCAGGUGAUGGGCUUAGUGGCGGCCAUUUUUUAAAGACCUCGUAAUAGAGCACUGAUUCAACACCGGAAGACCUCCGGUGGAUAGAGACAUCUAAAAUUUAUCGGAUCUAAACAAUAUACCGACACCUUGUCCAUAAUUACAGUUGGUAUUCAAAUUAGAGAUGGUCUAUCUAAUUUAAUUAUGGGGUAGCGGAACGUUGGGUGAUAAUAUUCAAUUAUUCUUUUUAAGAAUAAAAAAAAGAUUAACCCAAGUGAGAAUGCUGACAUGAGUAACGAAAAAGGAUAAAAAAAAUUUUUUUUACCUCGCCUUAAGCUUAUGGUAUUAUAUAAGUAACGGCCUCUAAGUUAGUUGACCUAAAGGUCUAAACGAUGAGAAAAAUCUUGUGAUUAUUGUAACAACCUUAUAUGGGUGUAUAAGUGUUCUGGAAAAGCAAUAAACAACGUAAAGCUAUUAUUAACUUUACGAUAAUAAAACCGUACCUAAGUACCAAGAGGUAAGCUAGUAGAGAAUACGAAGGCGCUUGAGUGAACAAUCUUUAAGGAACUCGGCAAACUAACUACCGUAACUUAGGGAGAAGGAGUGCCGAUCCCCCGUUUAAUAUCGGUUUGGAUAAGGAAGCAUAGAAUCGUGUUGUCCGACUGUUUAAUUAAAACAAAGCACGCUGCAUUAAGAUGAAAGUCUAAGUAUAGAGUGUGAUGUCUGCCCGAUGCCGGCUGGUUAACGGAGUUUCUGGGCUGCUUUUAUUAUAAAUGUCGGUCUGGUUUUGAAGGAUACCCCGGUUAAUGGCGGCCUUAUCUAUGAGGGUCCUAAGGUAGCAAAAUACCUUGGCCACUAAAUAUGGUCUCGCAUGAAUGAUGUAACGAUACAACAGCUGUCUCGAAGAUUGGCUCAGUGAAAUUGGAAUUGCAGUGCAGAUACUGUAUACCUCUAGAUAGACGAGAAGACCCUAUGCAGCUUUACUGUUUUUAGUCAUUGCGUGUGAUCGGACCAAGCGUAGGGAUAAGGUAGUUGGUUAAACGUAAUUGAAACACCUUUUUGAGUCUAUCACAUUGCUGGGGACUACAUUGUCCUCCACUUUAUUUUGAAUGAAAUAAAAUGACUUAUUCUACUUAUCAACCAGUUUUAAUUAUUCAAUAAUAGUAUAAAGUGAUACAAUAACUAUUAUUGCCUGAGAAUUAAAGUUAAAUAUUUUUAGCUGUAAAUUCUAUAAACUACAGGGUAGUGUGAUAUUUUCACAAGUACAUAAAAGUUGAUUUUUCACAAAGGUAAUAAGAAAUGAGAACAACGGCUAAUUGGCAGUUUAUGCGGGGCACAGAUCCCAUAAAGAGUAGCUGGGUAUAUCCUAAUUCCGAAAAAUUUGGGGAAAAAAUUAUAUAUUUUUUCUUUUGAGUCUUUAUUUAAUAUAUAAAUUUUAUAUAAAUUUAAUAUUUCGCCGAUCGCCUAUGGCGAUUGACCGAUUUUUAAGAUGAAUUUGUAUAUAAGUGGAUAAGAUAUAUUACUUAUCUCUAUGUACAUUUAAUCACUAUCUUUUUAUUUAAAGUAAAAUUUAAUUUUAAAGCAAGUAAGAUUUUAACUAUAUCGAGGAUAGGUGUAAUAAAUAAAAUUCACAUUUUCUAAUCUUCUGUGGACUCAUUCUAUCUGGGAUGAAUUGUAUGAUAAUUAGAAGAUGUAAUAUGUAUUUAAAGUUGCUAAAAUCCAGUAUUUCAAUAUUGUGAAUAGUGAUUUUGAUAAUUACUUGUCAAGUUUAAUGGCAUAAUCUUGCUUAACUGUCUGACCCACGCGUCUAUCAGUCGCGUAAGCGGGGCAUACGAUCGCGGAAUGCACAAAGGACUGGUUCCGUAUUAUAGAAUAAAGUUACGCUAGGGAUAACAGGCUGAUUGCGCUUGAGAGUACACAUUGGGAGCGCAGUUUGGCACCUCGAUGUCGGCUUAGCUUAUCCUCAGGAACGCAGAAAGUCUGAAGGGUACGACUGUUCGUCGUUUAAAAAGCUACACGAGCUGGGUUAAGUAUUUAGCCCCUUCAUAACGUAAGUUAUGUUUUUAUAUUAAAAAUAAUAUAAAAAUCGUCUCAUCUAAAUUUAAAUUUGGUUAUGGGUACGAAUGAAACACUGACAGAAUACGGUGAAGGCUAAGGUUUGAAUUUAUUUGAACUAGGUUAAUACCGUGGGAGAGCUAAGUAAAUAAAUAUUUAUUUGUCUUAAAGGCUUCCCGUAAAGACUCAAUAUAUUAAUAUUGGACUUAUAGUAAAAGAAUUCUAUAGGUAAUUCCGUCAGCAAUUUAAUAAUUUUAAUGUCUUUUUUUCAAAAAAUUUAAUAGGGUAUUUACCUUAUAUAAACUCUAUUAAUUCUUCUAACUGAGAGCAAAAGCUCCGGAAAGAAUUUAAAAAUUUUAAUAUACCAAUUAGACGCUUUAACUGAUGAAUAAAACAAGUGGCGUAAUCAGGUUCGAAUCCUGAGUUUAUCCUAGUGGGCUGACACCCCACUUUGAUAAAUCGAGCUUUUUUAUUCAAGGGAUCGGCGCUAAGGUUUAUUAGCUUUAGCUAUGUAAUUAUAAAUCUUGAAUAAAAAUUAAUCGAAAAGAAUAAUUAUUAUGGAAAAAACAGAAUGCCAUCAUAUUGUGUGCUUCUAAGAGUGGUGAUGGGGUUAAAGAUUAGUCUUUAACUGGGAAAUUCGGCUCGGAUAUCGUAAACUAAGAAUUUCACUAUAGGUAUCUGAAAACAUUUAAGACCAUAUCUGGAAAUCGAUAAUAUAGAAGGUUUCCCGCGGUGAAAAGACCACGGGAUCUGUCGUGUUUAAUAGAAAACGUUUCAAGUCAAGAGGAAAUAUUACAGCCUUAAUGUCUAAUACAUCUUUAACUAAUUAAUGAAAGUCACAAAUAUCUUUAACAAAAAUAUACUCAAUAAAUGAGAAUUAAAUAAAAAAAUCACUGGAGAUUAUAUAGCAGGCUUUGUACAAGCAGAUGGUUCUUUUUCAGCAGUAUUGACAAGCAAAACAAGAAAUUCAAAACGAUAUUUUAAUAUCUCGUUGGUUUUUACUAUUGUGCAGCAUGAAAAAUAUAAAGAUCUUAUUUUAGAAAUUCAAAAAUAUUUUGGAGGUAUAGGUAACUGGUAUUUUAAUAAAAACGAUAAAACGAUAAGAUAUCAGGUAACUAAACUUUGUGACUUAUUAAAUAUAAUUAUACCAUUUUUUAUGAAACAUCAACUUAGAGAUGGUAAAUUAAAUAGUUUUUUACAUUUUAAAUAUAUUGCAACUGUGAUGUCUACUAGAGCACAUUGAAAUAAUAAAAAAAUGUUAUUAAGUUUAAUAGUAAUAGCAAGUCACUUAAAUCCUUUAGGAAAAUUAGGAAAUAAAAUAAGAUAUUUAACUCCUGAGGAACAAAAUUAUGUUAUAAAUAAUAAACAACCUGAAGGAAUAGAUACUAGCGAAUUAAAAAAAAGUAUUGAUAAUUUUAAACGAAAUGAAUUAACUUUAGAUUUUAUUCAUGGUUUGUUUGAUGGUGAUGGUAAUAUCUCAAUAUACUUUGUUAAACCCUCAGAGGCCAAAGGCUUAAAUCGUGCAAGUUCGGAAAAUGAACCAUUAGAAGAAAUAAAAGCUCAGCACGAUAAUAAAAAUAAUGAGGUGAAAGAAAUUAAAUUUUAUGUGGGUUGUUCUUUUACUAUUGUUCAAGAUAAACAUAAUCUGUCGCUUUUAAAAGAAAUUAAAUCUUUUUUUAAUGAGACAGGUGGUAUUCAUGAGAUUAAUGAUAAUUGUAGUAUCUAUAAAGUGGGAUCUAAAUCUGCCUUAGUUUCUAUAAUUUUACCAAAAAUGGUAGAUAAAAAUUCUUUAGAUUGGGUCGAUUGCUCACAAGAAAACGUAAACAUUGAUUUAACUUCUUCCGAACUAAAUUUACCACUAUUGAAAUAUAAUAAAAUAUAUUAUAGUUGUAAAAUUUUAAAGCUUUUAUCUAAUGGAAAUAAAUUAAAUAAUGAAAAUAUGGAUCAAAUUCUAGAGUUAUCUUAUUACGUUCGUGAUGAAUCAGAUAAUAUAACAUUAGAAAAAUACAUAGAAAAUUUUAGACAAAAAUGAUUACUUUAGGUAAUUUGACAAAUUAGAAAAUUAUUAUAAUUGAAGAUAUAGUCUAGACAAGUAUGAAAGUACUUGAAUAAUCAUAAAUACGUCGUGAGACAGUAUGGUUUCUAUCUUCUAGUGGUAGUUAGAGUAAAUUAAAAACAGGCCCUUUGUACGAAAGGAACUGGGAAUAAUAACCUCUGGUUUACCUGUUGUUUAUGUGGACGAUAUUAAUUGUUAUUAUACUAAAAAUAUGAUGCAAAAUGAAUUUUACUGACACUUAAGUAAAUAAUAGCAUAGGCACGGCAGGAAAGCUAUGUUUUACGCUCUCAGUGUAAUUUUUAAUUUAUAAUGUAAAUUAAAGACAUUUUUAUUACAAAUAAAAUUUCUGAGUUAUAAUUUGGCGGUGAGUAAAGAACUGAAAGCAUAUAAGUUUGAAACUAACUUUAGGAUACUCUUAAAAACGUAGAAUACUACUACGUACAAUUA
RNAcentral lists this ribosomal RNA (5626 nucleotides) under Orbilia oligospora. RNAcentral's name for it is "large subunit ribosomal RNA". The stretch from base 44 to 3136 matches the Rfam family "Bacterial large subunit ribosomal RNA". The record is from RNAcentral. Lineage: Eukaryota; Fungi; Ascomycota; Orbiliomycetes; Orbiliales; Orbiliaceae.